Suricata suricatta (meerkat) is the source of this 2368-nucleotide long non-coding RNA. RefSeq lists it as uncharacterized. NCBI's taxonomy places the organism in Eukaryota, Metazoa, Chordata, Mammalia, Carnivora, Herpestidae. The record is from RefSeq and is a predicted model, not a curated record. The transcript has 3 exons.
UUGGGAUAUAAUUUGGUUAAACUGUCCAUUACACCCCUUUCUCGGUGUGUGUUAUCUGUUUCACUGUAGAAAAUGUGGAGGGAAAACCCAAGAUCUCAAGAUGUCAAGCAUACCUGCCAGCAAUAUGCAGUUUGCCAAGCAGAGGUUGAGCAGUGAAGUCGCGAGUCUCCUCGGAGUCCCUGCACAAGAAAGAGGGUGCACUUGACGUAGCGCGAUAGGAUGGAUGAAGAGCGCGGCGGCCCAGAAAGCGGGCAUGCCGCAGUCCUCUGCAGCAGGGCAGUCACCUGCGUGGGUCGCAUGGUGGUGUGAGCCCCGCACGGUGUCUGCCGCAGCCGGCCAGUUCUGUCGGGGGAGCCGGCGUCCCUGGGAGCCUGUUUCCUGGAGUGGGAGUGCGACAGCGCUCGAAGCCACGUUCUGCCAGGCACGGGCCGAGUUUCCUCUGAUGGAAGGUGUUCAGGUUAUUCUAGCCUACCGAUUUGGAGUCUUUGCGUUUCAGGCACCAGAGGAGAGUCCGGCCUUCUCUGCGUGGAAAACUAGACCUCCAGAUUCAGUGCAAAUUUGGCUGCGGGGGCAAGACUGACUACAUAUUUUUCUUACUGUGACAUUUUCCACAGUUCCUAAUUUGUUCAUGCCAAUUUCCAGGGUGUUCCUUUCUCUGGCUGACUAAUAGCAUUCUGGGUCAUCUAUGCUGCCGGCUGCUGGAUGGCCUGGUCUUACUUUUUGUGAUUCCUUCCAUAGACCAGUGGAGGUUUGUUCAAAUGGAUUUAAUUGUAUCUCACUUGGCUCACACGGCCAGUGACUGCUUGGAAUUGUAUUAGGGGGCCUAAUUUGGCUGUGAAUGCAGGCUCUCUAUUUAGGUUUUUCUGAGAUAGAGGCGCACUUAGUCCUGCUAGAGAUUUUGGAAUAUUUUCACUUUCACGGCAAGAGAUCCUAGAAAACGCGAGUCACUUUCAGACUGAACCAGCCAGACCCAGGGUGAGGGUUUAAAAAAAGAACAAAACCCCAAAACAGAUCAAACUUAAGAGAGAGAUCAUGAUUCUUUUGGGAAUUUUGGACUUCUUUGUAAGUGAUUCUAAGAUCCUCCAAAUACUAUUAGCUAAAAUAGUACUGCUUUUGAGCUCUGGGAAAAAAAUCUCCAGACCUCCCCACCGAUAAACAUUCUGAAAGUGAGAGGCUGAAGAGGUUUUUGAGGAAUACACCCAACUUCACAGGGACCCUUUCAGAAGCAGGUUUGGAAAGACUCCUGGAGAAGCCGUGCUCUGGUGGCGCUGUGCGAAUGGUUCCUCUUGCUCCAGUUUGAGACGGAGGAAGUCCUCUGAUAGGUGACUGUCUUGGGCAUUCAACUUCCGUUCUGUGAUGUCUUCAGGAAACAGGCCCGUGGUCUCCCCACCUCUGUGGUUCAGUCUCUCGCAUCUCCCUUGGAAAGGGGCAGCUGCUCACCUCUUGAGAACGUCUUGCUCUUGUGCAGGUGGCUCACCCGUGUCCUUGAGCUCCCAGGGACCACCCUUGGUCUGCUCAGGUCCUGACCAGGGCAAGACGCCAGUGUUGUGCACAGUCCCGUGCUCUGGGCAGCGAGAACGCCGGGCCUGCCGCUCAUUUAGUCCGUGGUUUGAUCUGGAAAGUUCAUGUCUGGCCUCUGGCCUGAGGGUCCUGUGGGAAAGGAAAGCUGGGGCACCAGGUGCUGUGGUGGGUGUUUUCAUGUGUUUUCUUUCAAAUAAGAUUCUUACAACCGAACAGUGUUGGAGAUGGUACUGUUCACAUCUUAGAGAUGAGAAAAUUGAGGGCACUGAGGUGAGCUGUUGGUUCACCGUCACAGAGGAGUCAGGGAUUUGCAUUGGGACCAUCUGACCUCUGGCCUCAGGCAUGGGGUGUGCCUGUUGCGCCUCCUCUCCCGGAGUCAGGGAGAAAGCACAGGAGGGGGUGUCCUCAGGGAACCUGGUACCGGCCCUGGCCCCACUGCCAUCUCUGUGACCCUGGGCAGGCUAUGCCGCUAGAGCCUUGUUUUCACCUCUGUUAAAUGGGACCACAGUGCCUACUUCAAGGCUUUUCCAGCAGUAGAGAGAGAUUAUGUAGAGGUUCGGUAAGUCCCACCUGCAAGGAGGUUUCCCGGGGAACGGCCCUUGUAGGCAGGCUGGUUGGGACUGCACCCAGCUGUCCCGAGGCCCGGCUCCAUCCCUGCCUUUGAAUUCAUGCGUAGAAUGGAGGGGUGGGAGACCGCCUUCGUUAAGGGCGCUUCGUUAGUUCUCAGCAUUCAGUGGCUGCUUCCGGUUCCGCAGGGAUGACGGGGACCCCAGAGGCCACUGGAAGUUUCCGUGGAAGCGACACCAGCUAGACUUUUCUGCUUGUGCCUGGGGCAGCCAGAGGAUUU